Podarcis lilfordi (Lilford's wall lizard) is the source of this 74-nucleotide non-coding RNA. The record is from the annotation of a GenBank genome assembly. Lineage: Eukaryota; Metazoa; Chordata; Lepidosauria; Squamata; Lacertidae.
GUCCGGGAUAGCUCAACCGGUAGAGCACGAGACUCUGAAUCUCAGGGCUGUGGGUUCGAGCCCCACGUUGGGCA